This 482-nucleotide ribosomal RNA is filed under the name uncultured bacterium. RNAcentral describes it as "bacterial SSU rRNA". It matches the Rfam family "Bacterial small subunit ribosomal RNA", at positions 29 to 506 of the family's 1533-position model. The record is from RNAcentral.
UUGAACGCUGGCGGCAUGCUUUACACAUGCAAGUCGAACGGCAGCACGGGGGCAACCCUGGUGGCGAGUGGCGAACGGGUGAGUAACAUAUCGGAACAUAUCCGGAAGUGGGGGAUAACGUACCGAAAGGUACGCUAAUACCGCAUAUGCCCUGAGGGGGAAAGGAGGGGAUCGCAAGACCUUUCGCUUUCGGAGUGGCCGAUAUCGGAUUAGCUAGUUGGCGGGGUAAAGGCCCACCAAGGCGACGAUCCGUAGCUGGUCUGAGAGGACGACCAGCCACACUGGAACUGAGACACGGUCCAGACUCCUACGGGAGGCAGCAGUGGGGAAUUUUGGACAAUGGGGGCAACCCUGAUCCAGCCAUGCCGCGUGAGUGAAGAAGGCCUUCGGGUUGUAAAGCUCUUUCAGCCGGAAAGAAACGGUCACGGUGAAUAUCCGUGACUAAUGACGGUACCGGCAGAAGAAGCACCGGCUAACUACGU